GCCCUUAGAGUUUGAUCCUGGCUCAGAUUGAACGCUGGCGGCAUGCUUAAGACAUGCAAGUCGAACGGUAACGGGCCCUUCGGGGUGCCGACGAGUGGCGGACGGGUGAGUAAUGCAUCGGAAUCUGCCCAGUAGUGGGGGAUAACCCGGGGAAACUCGGGCUAAUACCGCAUACGCUCUACGGAGGAAAGAGGGCCUCUGACUCAAGCUCUCGCUAUUGGAUGAGCCGAUGUCCGAUUAGCUUGUUGGUAGGGUAAAUGCCUACCAAGGCGACGAUCGGUAGCUGGUCUGAGAGGAUGAUCAGCCACACUGGGACUGAGACACGGCCCAGACUCCUACGGGAGGCAGCAGUCGGGAAUAUUGGACAAUGGGCGAAAGCCUGAUCCAGCAAUGCCGCGUGUGUGAAGAAGGCCUGCGGGUUGUAAAGCACUUUCAGCAGGGAAGACGGCGUCCGGCGCUAAUACCGCCGGGGGUUGACGUUACCUGCAGAAGAAGCACCGGCUAACUCCGUGCCAGCAGCCGCGGUAAUAC
This 531-nucleotide ribosomal RNA is filed under the name uncultured Gammaproteobacteria bacterium. Its description in RNAcentral is "bacterial SSU rRNA". It matches the Rfam family "Bacterial small subunit ribosomal RNA", at positions 1 to 526 of the family's 1533-position model. Lineage: Bacteria; Pseudomonadati; Pseudomonadota; Gammaproteobacteria. The record is from RNAcentral.